RNAcentral lists this long non-coding RNA (572 nucleotides) under Calidris pugnax (ruff). RNAcentral describes it as "lncRNA (ENSCPUG00000001795.1)". Lineage: Eukaryota; Metazoa; Chordata; Aves; Charadriiformes; Scolopacidae. The record is from RNAcentral.
ACUCCACUGUCAGCAGUGAUGAGCAUUUCUAUUAAACUGUGUAGCAAUUAAUUUGAUAUAUCAGGUACCAUCUGACUGUUCCUUGUUUAUUUCUGCAGUGCCCAAGGAUCCAUUUGCAGCAGCAGGAAGAUUGCUGUGUUGAACUCAGGCCAGCUUCUUCCUAGCCUUUGUCUGUGAUUUUUGUGAACUACUUUCUUCAUCACAAGCAGUCAAUUCCAGGUCUGAGCAACCUGUGCACAGCAGGAGAAACAUGGAGAGAAUGUCCUGUCUUGGAUGGCAUUGUUUCACAGCUGGAAUGGGAGAAAAGCAACCCCUGCCACCCCCUGCCACGUACAGAUCCUAGGCUGGAUCUGUCACCUUACUGGGGUAUGGCUGAGGAUAUUGGAGGUUAAGGAAUUCCAUUGUCUCAAUAAACAUGUGCACUGAAGCAGAGCUGCACAUUCUCAUUCACCAUGGGCUCAGGUUUCGGACCGUCUGCCCGAAGGGGAAAUUUAUCCUGGCAACCGCUGAAAGGGGAACGCGUGUGGAUUGGCACCGGUUUGUGCAUUAAAAAAAUUAAUUUUUUUUUUUUA